Molecule: long non-coding RNA, 401 nt
Filed under: Helianthus annuus (common sunflower)
Lineage: Eukaryota; Viridiplantae; Streptophyta; Magnoliopsida; Asterales; Asteraceae
Description: hypothetical non coding rna
Source: RNAcentral
UUCUUUCAUUUUUAUCUACUCCAAAUUGACCUGCACCAGUUUCAUCGUUGUCGUCAAUCCGUCGUAGCUGAUCGGAAAACCGUAUGUACAGGAUCGUCGGAGGAAAGUACAUGCUCGGUCGUAAGAUCGGAAGCGGAUCGUUCGGUGAAAUCCAUCUAGGUUUUACUUUUGUUCUAUUUUUGUCACACAUCUGGUGAAGGCCAAAUCAGAGUAGAAAAGAUGAAAGAAUUACCUGGUGAAGGCCACCAAAAUCGCCGCCCCUUUGCUCUCUUUCUUGAAAUUUAUCAAUCCAACAGUCAAAACAGAGUCUUUAACUUUAAUCACCGGUCCGUAUUGCUUUAAUCCCGUCUUCCAAUUGAUGGGUUUUGUCUUGAAGAAUAAAGAUGACAAAAUUUGAAAGG